RNAcentral lists this small RNA (27 nucleotides) under Bombyx mori (domestic silkworm). RNAcentral's name for it is "ovarian small RNA-24249". The record is from RNAcentral. Lineage: Eukaryota; Metazoa; Arthropoda; Insecta; Lepidoptera; Bombycidae.
UAUUGCUUUGUUUACUGUCGCAUAAAA